Molecule: ribosomal RNA, 744 nt
Filed under: Bacillus sp. THJ-C75
Lineage: Bacteria; Bacillati; Bacillota; Bacilli; Caryophanales; Bacillaceae
Description: bacterial SSU rRNA
Rfam family: Bacterial small subunit ribosomal RNA
Source: RNAcentral
GGCUCAGGACGAACGCUGGCGGCGUGCCUAAUACAUGCAAGUCGAGCGGACAGAUGGGAGCUUGCUCCCUGAUGUCAGCGGCGGACGGGUGAGUAACACGUGGGUAACCUGCCUGUAAGACUGGGAUAACUCCGGGAAACCGGGGCUAAUACCGGAUGCUUGAUUGAACCGCAUGGUUCAAUUAUAAAAGGUGGCUUUUAGCUACCACUUACAGAUGGACCCGCGGCGCAUUAGCUAGUUGGUGAGGUAACGGCUCACCAAGGCAACGAUGCGUAGCCGACCUGAGAGGGUGAUCGGCCACACUGGGACUGAGACACGGCCCAGACUCCUACGGGAGGCAGCAGUAGGGAAUCUUCCGCAAUGGACGAAAGUCUGACGGAGCAACGCCGCGUGAGUGAUGAAGGUUUUCGGAUCGUAAAACUCUGUUGUUAGGGAAGAACAAGUACCGUUCGAAUAGGGCGGUACCUUGACGGUACCUAACCAGAAAGCCACGGCUAACUACGUGCCAGCAGCCGCGGUAAUACGUAGGUGGCAAGCGUUGUCCGGAAUUAUUGGGCGUAAAGCGCGCGCAGGCGGUUUCUUAAGUCUGAUGUGAAAGCCCCCGGCUCAACCGGGGAGGGUCAUUGGAAACUGGGGAACUUGAGUGCAGAAGAGGAGAGUGGAAUUCCACGUGUAGCGGUGAAAUGCGUAGAGAUGUGGAGGAACACCAGUGGCGAAGGCGACUCUCUGGUCUGUAACUGACGC